GCAAAACAUUGCUACAAGACAAUAUUUAGCUACUCGGCAAAAGAUAUUUUGUUUCUUAGGGUAGGUGGUAUCCUUUCCUCAUUUUACAUUCAGAUACCAACUGGAUUGACAGUUUUAUCUUCCUUUUCAAUACUAGAAAUAGAAGGAUUGAUUGCCUCAUCAACGCAAAGUGAGUACAACUUGAAUCUGCUCUAUCUGCUUGAAUCUGCUCUAGCUACUGUGUUUCUGUCUAGGCUGCUGAGUUCAAUUUGGUGAUCUUCUGACCUUAAUAAAACUUAAGGUACCAUUCUGUUUGGUGGGAUCAAUGUUCGUGUGAGUUGGAAUGGAACUGCAGCUUUGCAAGCUACCACUUAUCAUUAGUUCUGCCUUUUUUGACCUCCCAUCCACCACUGAGUAAUAGUGGCACUCAAGGCAAAAGUGUUAGCAAGACAGGCCAUGAGAGUACCUGUCACUCACAUUCUACAAAGGAGACUGGCCUAGAAAUUAAUAAGCAACAGGGACUUAGCUCGGUAGUAAUGCAAGCUGCCUGGAAAGCAGAGGGUUGCUGGUUUGAUCCCUAGCUUCUCCCCANAAGUAGGCAAUGGCAAACAAUUUCUGUUUCUCCCCUAGGAAAACUGCAUAAAGAUUCCCAUGGAGGCACCCAUGCAGUCAGCCAUGCAGCCACAACUCAAUGAUACCCAACAACAACAAGUAAUCUACCACUCAUACCUUCCUUCCAGCAUCUGCCAUCCAAGGUUUUUAAUGUACUGCAUUAACAUCAUGGAGCCCAGACAAGAAGAAAUGUAAACCUGACGCUGAUGAAGAUUUUGUUUGUUAGAGACAGGGCUGGCAUAAGUGAUAAACUGCUGGCUUCACAAUAGACUGUCACCCUGUAUUGCAAUUGUAGCUCUAUUAAGACUGUUUGACCUUGAAGGGCUUUAGCAUUAGAAUCAUGAAUGUUUAAAGAAGAUUACAUGCAUAGUGCACACUAUAAACUCAUACAAGUUGCAAAAGAAUUUGUGUCAUGGCUGACUCUCGGUUGACUAUGUAGUAUUUUGGCAGAGAUACAGAAGAGGUUUGCCAUUGCCUACUUCCACGGAGAGACUGAGGAUCAAACCAGCAACCCUCUGCUUUCCAAGCAGUUUACUCUACCACUCCCAGUGCAAAAUAAUACACUGCAUUUAUGUCUUCAAAUAUAUAUGCAUGUUUAUUUCACUUACAUGUUUAAAAUUUAC
This 1214-nucleotide long non-coding RNA is filed under the name Salvator merianae (Argentine black and white tegu). RNAcentral describes it as "lncRNA (ENSSMRG00000012221.1)". Lineage: Eukaryota; Metazoa; Chordata; Lepidosauria; Squamata; Teiidae. The record is from RNAcentral.